RNAcentral lists this ribosomal RNA (327 nucleotides) under uncultured eukaryote. Its description in RNAcentral is "partial 18S ribosomal RNA". It matches the Rfam family "Eukaryotic small subunit ribosomal RNA", at positions 1470 to 1796 of the family's 1831-position model. The record is from RNAcentral.
CCCUUAGAUGUUCUGGGCCGCACACGCGCUACACUGAAGGAGGCAGCGUGUACUCCUGGAUCGAAAGAUUUGGGUAACCCGCGAAUCUCCUUCGUGCUAGGGAUUGAGGUUUGCAAUUAUCCUUCAUGAACGAGGAAUUCCCAGUAAGUGCAAGUCAUAAGCUUGCGCUGACUACGUCCCUGCCCUUUGUACACACCGCCCGCCGCUACUACCGAUUGAAUGAUUUAGUGAGGACUUCGGACUGGGACCGAUGCGGCUUUCGGGCUGCGUCGGUAUUCUGGAAAGAUGUCCAAACUGUAUCAUUUAGAGGAAGUAAAANUCGUAACA